AUUGGACGCUGGCGGAAUGCUUUACACAUGCAAGUCGAACGGCAGCACGGGGGCAACCCUGGUGGCGAGUGGCGAACGGGUGAGUAAUACAUCGGAACGUGCCCAAUCGUGGGGGAUAACGUAGCGAAAGCUACGCUAAUACCGCAUACGAUCUACGGAUGAAAGCGGGGGAUCGCAAGACCUCGCGCGAAUGGAGCGGCCGAUGGCAGAUUAGGUAGUUGGUGGGGUAAAGGCUCACCAAGCCAACGAUCUGUAGCUGGUCUGAGAGGACGACCAGCCACACUGGGACUGAGACACGGCCCAGACUCCUACGGGAGGCAGCAGUGGGGAAUUUUGGGACAAUGGGCGCAAGCCUGAUCCAGCAAUGCCGCGUGAGUGAAGAAGGCCUUCGGUUGGUUAAAAGGACGUACUUUUCUACGUUUGAGAAGAAAAGAAUUAGUGACUAAU
This 447-nucleotide ribosomal RNA is filed under the name uncultured bacterium. RNAcentral's name for it is "bacterial SSU rRNA". It matches the Rfam family "Bacterial small subunit ribosomal RNA", at positions 30 to 466 of the family's 1533-position model. The record is from RNAcentral.